Molecule: microRNA precursor, 183 nt
Filed under: Oryza brachyantha (malo sina)
Lineage: Eukaryota; Viridiplantae; Streptophyta; Magnoliopsida; Poales; Poaceae
Description: MIR812 microRNA precursor family
Rfam family: MIR812 microRNA precursor family
Source: Rfam by way of RNAcentral
UUUUCGUUUUUUCCGUGUCGAACGUUUGACCAUUUGUUUUAUUUGAAUUUUUUUACGAUUAAUAUUUUUGUUAUUACUAGAUAAUAAAAUAUGAAUAGUACUUUAUACGUCGUUACUAACUUUUUUAGUUUUUUGCACAAAUCUUUUAAAUAAGAUGAAUGAUCAAACAUUGGACACGAAAAA